Molecule: transfer RNA, 78 nt
Filed under: Candidatus Bathyarchaeota archaeon
Lineage: Archaea; Thermoproteati; Candidatus Bathyarchaeota
Also listed under: 4 other names
Description: tRNA-Val
Rfam family: tRNA
About the family: Transfer RNA (tRNA) molecules are approximately 80 nucleotides in length.
Source: RNAcentral
GGGCCGGUAGUUUAGCCUGGCUAGAACGCUACCCUUACGAGGUAGUGGUCCCCGGUUCAAAUCCGGGCCGGCCCACCA